UUCGUAAGCCUAUUAGCCAACAGCAACAUGAGGUUCCACUCAACCUACAGUCUAAAUUUGGCAAUUCAGAAGAUAAGGUUUCAAAAUUGGGUUAUUGCCCUUCCUCCACAAAUACCCAACAAGGUUUUGGCACAAAAAUCAAUCAUCCAGAAUCUCAGAAAGAGUCCUCCAUCAAACUAGUUACUGAAGGACUCGGGAUAGUAACACAAGUAAAAGAAGAAGUACCUUGUGCUGAUAUUCUAAAACCAGAUACCUCUACCUGGAGCAAAAAAUGAAUUUGUUGCAUGGAACCAACCGGAAAAAUCAUCCUUUUCGACCAAUAAAUUACCAUCUGUGCAUUCGGAAAUGGAAGAAAUAUAUGCUUUCACAAAUGCCAAGAACAAAUCAGGAUUGAAUUCUACUUCAGAUACAGCGAGCGCUCUUGGACUAUCGACACAACCGACUGUCAAAAUGCAUCCUUUAGAUCAAGCGCAAACACCACUAGCUAAAAAUCUGACGUGGACUGGACAUUCAUCAUUUAGUACAACCAAAACACGACAAUCAUCCCUAGUUUCGUUAGCUUCGACUUCGAAGACUGAAAUGCAUAACGAUGAACAAAAACUAUCACUCGGCAUUUUAUUACCCAAAGUACAGGCCAAUUUUCAAUCUAGCAAGCUCUAAACCUCCGCAGCCAAUACCUAUUCAACUAGUGGUAAGCGUCGUGGCAGAAGUUCAACCAAUUGAUCCCAUCCAACAUCAUGUAGAGCAACAAAGCAAAUUAAUUCCCCCAGUUUCCAGCAGCAAUAUUUUACCCCCUCCAAUUGCUCGACCGACUCCGAAAACCAAGCAGAUAGCAGUUAACGGCAAGGUACUGAACCAAGAAUGACAUAUUUGCCUUAAAAGUUGUUCGUCUUGAUUCCGUUGAUGAAGUCACAGCUGAAGGCUAUAUUAAUGAAAUCCGGCUGUUGAAACAACUACAAGGUUUGCCUCGCGUCGUCCGCCUUCUUGAAUACGAGUACAACGAAGAAGAAGAGAAAUUGUUGUUGGUAAUGGAAAAAGGUGAUACCGACUUCGCAACUGUCAUCCGGACUCGCACCAGUCUCAACGCCAUCAACCCUACCCUGAUUCGCUUUUACUGGCAGGAAAUGUUAGAAGCUGUGAAAGAGAUUCAUGACAAGAAUGUGAUUCAUACAGAUCUGAAACCGACUAACUUUCUUUUGGUCAAUGGAGGCUUAAAGUUGAUCGACUUCGGUAUUGCCACUUCUAUCCAGGCCGACAUGACGUCGAUAAUGAAGGACAGCCAGUGCGGC
Molecule: long non-coding RNA, 1289 nt
Organism: Daphnia pulicaria
Lineage: Eukaryota; Metazoa; Arthropoda; Branchiopoda; Diplostraca; Daphniidae
Exons: 5
Source: RefSeq, a predicted model, not a curated record